UUGACAAUUGGACCGUGAAGGCAUACUUUCAGGAGUGAGGGUAGAGCGGGGUUUCCCCUGCCCUGGUAGUCUUAGUAUGCUGGGUAGCUAAUCACUAAGAGCACCACGAUGAUGAGUAUCUUCAUCAUGACCCUUUCCUUAUU
RNAcentral lists this small RNA (143 nucleotides) under Escherichia coli. RNAcentral describes it as "Short Intergenic Abundant RNA". It matches the Rfam family "Short Intergenic Abundant RNA". From Rfam's summary of the family: This family contains multiple ncRNA from E. coli that were identified in a large scale screen of E. coli, were they were called candidates 43,55 and 61. These RNAs have also been identified by other groups and called QUAD RNAs. RNAcentral also lists the same sequence under 1 other name. The record is from RNAcentral. Lineage: Bacteria; Pseudomonadati; Pseudomonadota; Gammaproteobacteria; Enterobacterales; Enterobacteriaceae.